UUAAGUGAAUAAGGGCGCACGGUGGAUGCCUUGGCACUAGGAGCCGAUGAAGGACGGGACUAACACCGAUAUGCUUUGGGGAGCUGUAAGUAAGCUAUGAUCCAGAGAUUUCCGAAUGGGGGAACCCAAUAUCUUUUAUAGGAUAUUACUUUUCAGUGAAUACAUAGCUGAUUAGAGGUAGACGCAGAGAACUGAAACAUCUUAGUACCUGCAGGAAGAGAAAGAAAAUUCGAUUCCCUGAGUAGCGGCGAGCGAAACGGGAAGAGCCCAAACCAACAAGCUUGCUUGUUGGGGUUGUAGGACUCCAAUAUGGUAGUCUGUUAGUAUAGUUGAAGGAUUUGGAAAAUUCCGCUAAAGAGGGUGAAAGCCCCGUAGACGAAAUGCUGACAACACCUAGGAGGAUCCUGAGUACGGCGGAACACGAGAAAUUCCGUCGGAAUCCGCGGGGACCAUCCCGCAAGGCUAAAUACUCCCUAGUGACCGAUAGUGAACCAGUACCGUGAGGGAAAGGUGAAAAGCACCCCGGAAGGGGAGUGAAAUAGAUCCUGAAACCGUGUGCCUACAACAAGUCAAAGCUCGUUAAUGAGUGAUGGCGUGCCUUUUGUAGAAUGAACCGGCGAGUUACGAUUGCAUGCGAGGUUAAGUCGAAGAGACGGAGCCGCAGCGAAAGCGAGUCUGAAUAGGGCGAAUGAGUAUGUAGUCGUAGACCCGAAACCAUGUGAUCUACCCAUGUCCAGGUUGAAGGUGCGGUAAAACGCACUGGAGGACCGAACCCACGUACGUUGAAAAGUGCGGGGAUGAGGUGUGGGUAGCGGAGAAAUUCCAAACGAACUUGGAGAUAGCUGGUUCUCUCCGAAAUAGCUUUAGGGCUAGCCUCGGAAUUGAGAAUGAUGGAGGUAGAGCACUGUUUGGACUAGGGGCCCAUCUCGGGUUACCGAAUUCAGAUAAACUCCGAAUGCCAUUCAUUUAUAUCCGGGAGUCAGACUGCGAGUGAUAAGAUCCGUAGUCGAAAGGGAAACAGCCCAGACCACCAGCUAAGGUCCCAAAAUAUAUGUUAAGUGGAAAAGGAUGUGGGGUUGCACAGACAACUAGGAUGUUGGCUUAGAAGCAGCCACCAUUUAAAGAGUGCGUAAUAGCUCACUAGUCGAGUGACCCUGCGCCGAAAAUGUACCGGGGCUAAACAUAUUACCGAAGCUGUGGACUACACCAUUAGGUGUAGUGGUAGGAGAGCGUUCUAAGGGCGUUGAAGGUCGAUCGUGAGGACGGCUGGAGCGCUUAGAAGUGAGAAUGCCGGUAUGAGUAGCGAAAGACAGGUGAGAAUCCUGUCCACCGUAUGACUAAGGUUUCCUGGGGAAGGCUCGUCCGCCCAGGGUUAGUCGGGACCUAAGCCGAGGCCGAUAGGCGUAGGCGAUGGACAACAGGUUGAUAUUCCUGUACCAGUUGUUUUUGUUUGAGCAAUGGAGGGACGCAGUAGGCUAAGGAAUGCAUGCGAUUGGAAGUGCAUGUCCAAGCAAUGAGUCUUGAGUAGAGUUAAAUGCUUUACUCUUUAAGGACAAGUUGUGACGGGGAGCGAAAUAAUAGUAGCGAAGUUCCUGAUGUCACACUGCCAAGAAAAGCUUCUAGUGAGAAAACAACUGCCCGUACCGUAAACCGACACAGGUAGUCGAGGAGAGUAUCCUAAGGUGAGCGAGCGAACUCUCGUUAAGGAACUCGGCAAAAUGACCCCGUAACUUCGGGAGAAGGGGUGCUGACUUCGGUCAGCCGCAGUGAAUAGGCCCAAGCGACUGUUUAUCAAAAACACAGGUCUCUGCAAAAUCGUAAGAUGAAGUAUAGGGGCUGACGCCUGCCCGGUGCUGGAAGGUUAAGAGGAUGGGUUAGCUUCGGCGAAGCUCAGAAUUGAAGCCCCAGUAAACGGCGGCCGUAACUAUAACGGUCCUAAGGUAGCGAAAUUCCUUGUCGGGUAAGUUCCGACC
This 1973-nucleotide ribosomal RNA is filed under the name human gut metagenome. RNAcentral's name for it is "bacterial LSU rRNA". It matches the Rfam family "Bacterial large subunit ribosomal RNA", at positions 1 to 1988 of the family's 2925-position model. The record is from RNAcentral.